Molecule: non-coding RNA, 1212 nt
Organism: Manis javanica (Malayan pangolin)
Lineage: Eukaryota; Metazoa; Chordata; Mammalia; Pholidota; Manidae
Source: RefSeq, a predicted model, not a curated record
AAUGAAAGUGACUUGCUGAUGUGUCCUCUGGAGGAUGCUUGUAGCCUAGAGUGUAGUUUGGAAUGCUGGAAAAGAAAAAGCAACACCGUUCGUGAAGUACUGUGGCGCUGCAGAAACUAAGGCCUCGACAUCAUUCUCUCACAAGUCGAUGUGGUCGUCAUCAGUGUUGUUCAGCAGAUACUUCCGGCUCUGCGCCCUCCGGGCACUCAGUAGCAGUUCACUUCCUGGCCCCACUUUACACAUGUCACUUCUGGGCCAGAGCACUGAAUUGAUGGCUUCAGGCCCUCCAGAACUCUGUUAUCCCUGCCAUGGUCUUUGGGGAAUUUUCAGGUAGUGGCUACUCUUUCAGCUUGGGUGCCAGAGUGAGAAAGAGCCCAAGACAACUGGCCAUGGGCAUGUAGCACGGGCAAGAAGAAGACUAUUGUCCUCGCAGAGACAGCCAAAUAGGUCAACCCGUGAGCUGCAUCACUGACAUGUGAUUCCUGUGACUAUUUUUCUCUUUCUCUCAGUGGCUGGUUAAGUGCAAGAUCGUUUUUAAAGAUGCAUCAGAACUCAGACAAAGGAAUAACCCUAAUGUCAUACUCAGAUAUUUUUCAGUCUUCUUACAAGGUAACCCAGUGCAGAAGCAGCGAUGGUCCUAGCCAUUUUGACGUGCUCUUUCAUGCUGGCAAAACUCACUGUUAUUAAUUAUGAUUUAUUACUUGUCUACUUGCCUCCAAGAGGACUGGAAGUAAGAUCAUUUGUUCAUUCACUCUUUCUAUAUUUGUUGAGGGCCCACUGUGUGCCAGGCACCAUCCUAAGCCUUGAGGAUUCAGCAGUUAAUAACUAUACAAGUAUCUUCUGGGGUUGGUUGUAUUCUAGUGAACAGAGAUGGACAAUAAGCAAAUAAAUACGCAACAUUAAGUUGCAAUAUGCAAAUAAGUUUCUAAUAGGCCAGUGAUGAUAAGCACCACAGUCACUAGACAGCUCAGAGAAGGAAACAAGACAGGGUCUUCCUCUGCAAAGGUAGUUAGGGAAGGUGAUGUAUGUUGAGAACCUUGAAGGAAGUAAAAAAAUGUUCUAAGCAAAGAAAAUGCUCUAAGGGAAGAAGGGUUGGUGCGUGGGACCCCGUGCAGGGGUCUUGAGGAGAGAGCAUGGUUGCUGUGUGUGAAGAACCUCAGGCCAAAGGUACUGGGGUGGAGAGAGCAACUCGAAGAACAGCAGGGACUGAGG